GACAGGAAUCCUGGCACUUAUGUCAACGUACAACACAUGAGGUUGCUGAGUAUACCAGAUUACAAGGUGUUGAAACAAGUGUUCUUCUCUUUCGCUAUGUGCAUCGAAGCUUUUCGGCAUUGUCCUCCUGUUAUGUUUGUGGAUGGUACAUUCCUGACCGGUCAGUAUAGAGGGCAAAUCCUGACUGCUAUUGGUGUGGACGGGAACAAUCAAAUCAUCCCACUUGCCAUGGCAUUUGUGGACGGUGAGAACUUUCCCAGCUGGGUAUGGUUCCUCCGGCAAGUGAAAAUUGCCAUUGUGAAGGACCGACCAAACGUGUGUGUCAUUCAUGACAGACAUGCUGGUAUAUUGAAGGCCGUGAAGACACUACGUAAU
RNAcentral lists this ribosomal RNA (375 nucleotides) under Triticum aestivum (bread wheat). RNAcentral's name for it is "partial small subunit ribosomal RNA". Lineage: Eukaryota; Viridiplantae; Streptophyta; Magnoliopsida; Poales; Poaceae. The record is from RNAcentral.